This 254-nucleotide ribosomal RNA is filed under the name uncultured bacterium. RNAcentral describes it as "partial 16S ribosomal RNA". It matches the Rfam family "Bacterial small subunit ribosomal RNA", at positions 524 to 776 of the family's 1533-position model. The record is from RNAcentral.
GACGAACCGUGCGAACGUUAUUCGGAAUCACUGGGCUUAAAGCGCGUGUAGGCGGCCCGGAGCAUCGUCGGCUGAAAUCCCCCGGCUCAACCGGGGAACGGGCCACGAGAUGUCCGGGCUGGAGGGGGGUAGGGGGAGCCGGAACUCACGGUGGAGCGGUGAAAUGCGUUGAGAUCGUGAGGAACGCCCGUGGCGAAAGCGGGCUCCUGGACCCCACCUGACGCUGAGACGCGAAAGCCAGGGGAGCGAACGGG